RNAcentral lists this ribosomal RNA (434 nucleotides) under uncultured Lachnospiraceae bacterium. RNAcentral's name for it is "bacterial SSU rRNA". It matches the Rfam family "Bacterial small subunit ribosomal RNA", at positions 341 to 792 of the family's 1533-position model. The record is from RNAcentral. Lineage: Bacteria; Bacillati; Bacillota; Clostridia; Lachnospirales; Lachnospiraceae.
ACGGGAGGCAGCAGUGAGGAAUAUUGCACAAUGGGGGAAACCCUGAUGCAGCGACGCCGCGUGGGUGAAGAAGUUUUUCGGAAUGUAAAGCCCUAUCAGCAGGGAAGAUAAUGACGGUACCUGACUAAGAAGCCCCGGCUAACUACGUGCCAGCAGCCGCGGUAAUACGUAGGGGGCAAGCGUUAUCCGGAUUUACUGGGUGUAAAGGGAGCGUAGACGGAAUAGCAAGUCUGAAGUGAAAUGUAGGGGCUCAACCCCUGAACUGCUUUGGAAACUGUUGAUCUUGAGUACCGGAGGGGCAGGCGGAAUUCCUGGUGUAGCGGUGAAAUGCGUAGAUAUCAGGAAGAACACCGGUGGCGAAGGCGGCCUGCUGGACGGUAACUGACGUUGAGGCUCGAAAGCGUGGGGAGCAAACAGGAUUAGAUACCCUGGUA